RNAcentral lists this unclassified non-coding RNA (465 nucleotides) under Hevea brasiliensis (rubber tree). The record is from RNAcentral. Lineage: Eukaryota; Viridiplantae; Streptophyta; Magnoliopsida; Malpighiales; Euphorbiaceae.
GCAAAACAGAUAUAUAUCCGUAGACUAUAGUUAAGUUUUAACGUAGAAGGUCAUAGAAGAGACGCUUAAAUAAAAAUAUUACAGACUAAAUAGACAAGUUUGCGUACUGUUACAAUAUUAUUAGCUUCAGGAAGCAAAGACCUUAUGCAUUGAAAUUUCCAUGGAAUAAAUGGAGGAUAUUUUAAGCAGCAGCCACAGUCUCGGCAGGUUUAGCUUCUGCUUCAGCCGCUGCAGGUGCUGCCGGGGCGUUGUCUUCCCAGUAGGCAGUCUUCUUCCCAGUUUUUGAAACAGUUUGGAAAACUACAUCCGGCGCUACAUUGCCUUUCACAGUCACCUUUUGUGCAUCAAUAUCAAUGUCAAAUGUCUCGACUCCUUCCAGUUUUCCCAAGACCCUUUUGACGGCCCCAACACAGCCUUGACAUGACAUGGCAACCUUGAGGACAGUAGUCUGAGACAUGGUUACAG